Molecule: ribosomal RNA, 340 nt
Filed under: uncultured Comamonadaceae bacterium
Lineage: Bacteria; Pseudomonadati; Pseudomonadota; Betaproteobacteria; Burkholderiales; Comamonadaceae
Description: bacterial SSU rRNA
Rfam family: Bacterial small subunit ribosomal RNA
Source: RNAcentral
ACAGUAUAUAAGAGUUUUGAUCAUGGCUCAGAUUGAACGCUGGCGGCAUGCCUUACACAUGCAAGUCGAACGGUAACAGGUUAAGCUGACGAGUGGCGAACGGGUGAGUAAUAUAUCGGAACGUGCCCAGUAGUGGGGGAUAGCCCGGCGAGAGCCGGAUUAAUACCGCAUACGACCUACGGGUGAAAGGGGGGGAUCGCAAGACCUCUCGCUAUUGGAGCGGCCGAUAUCAGAUUAGCUAGUUGGUGGGGUAAAAGCUCACCAAGGCGACGAUCUGUAGCUGGUCUGAGAGGACGACCAGCCACACUGGGGACUGAGACACGGCCCAGACUCCUACGGG